RNAcentral lists this ribosomal RNA (465 nucleotides) under Vreelandella stevensii. RNAcentral describes it as "partial 16S ribosomal RNA". It matches the Rfam family "Bacterial small subunit ribosomal RNA", at positions 338 to 795 of the family's 1533-position model. Lineage: Bacteria; Pseudomonadati; Pseudomonadota; Gammaproteobacteria; Oceanospirillales; Halomonadaceae. The record is from RNAcentral.
CCUACGGGGGGCAGCAGUGGGGAAUAUUGGACAAUGGGGGCAACCCUGAUCCAGCCAUGCCGCGUGUGUGAAGAAGGCCCUCGGGUUGUAAAGCACUUUCAGUGAGGAAGAACGCCUGGUGGUUAAUACCCAUCAGGAAAGACAUCACUCACAGAAGAAGCACCGGCUAACUCCGUGCCAGCAGCCGCGGUAAUACGGAGGGUGCGAGCGUUAAUCGGAAUUACUGGGCGUAAAGCGCGCGUAGGUGGCUUGAUAAGCCGGUUGUGAAAGCCCCGGGCUCAACCUGGGAACGGCAUCCGGAACUGUCAAGCUAGAGUGCAGGAGAGGAAGGUAGAAUUCCCGGUGUAGCGGUGAAAUGCGUAGAGAUCGGGAGGAAUACCAGUGGCGAAGGCGGCCUUCUGGACUGACACUGACACUGAGGUGCGAAAGCGUGGGUAGCAAACAGGAUUAGAUACACCAGUAGUC